Molecule: non-coding RNA, 71 nt
Organism: Chelonia mydas (Green sea turtle)
Lineage: Eukaryota; Metazoa; Chordata; Testudines; Cheloniidae
Source: Rfam
UCCUCAUUAGUAUAGUGGUGAGUAUCCCUGCCUGUCACGCGGGAGACCUGGGUUGAUUCCCUGAUGGGGAG